Molecule: ribosomal RNA, 686 nt
Filed under: Agromyces sp.
Lineage: Bacteria; Bacillati; Actinomycetota; Actinomycetes; Micrococcales; Microbacteriaceae
Description: bacterial SSU rRNA
Rfam family: Bacterial small subunit ribosomal RNA
Source: RNAcentral
ACGGGUGAGUAACACGUGAGUAACCUGCCCUGGACUCUGGGAUAACCCCGAGAAAUCGGAGCUAAUACCGGAUAUGACUUCGCACCGCAUGGUGUGGGGUGGAAAGUUUUUUCGGUCUGGGAUGGACUCGCGGCCUAUCAGCUUGUUGGUGAGGUAAUGGCUCACCAAGGCGUCGACGGGUAGCCGGCCUGAGAGGGUGACCGGCCACACUGGGACUGAGACACGGCCCAGACUCCUACGGGAGGCAGCAGUGGGGAAUAUUGCACAAUGGGCGCAAGCCUGAUGCAGCAACGCCGCGUGAGGGAUGACGGCCUUCGGGUUGUAAACCUCUUUUAGUAAGGAAGAAGGGGAGCUUGCUCCUUGACGGUACUUGCAGAAAAAGGACCGGCUAACUACGUGCCAGCAGCCGCGGUAAUACGUAGGGUCCGAGCGUUGUCCGGAAUUAUUGGGCGUAAAGAGCUCGUAGGCGGUUUGUCGCGUCUGCUGUGAAAUCUCCAGGCUCAACCUGGAGUCUGCAGUGGGUACGGGCAGACUUGAGUGGUGUAGGGGAGACUGGAAUUCCUGGUGUAGCGGUGGAAUGCGCAGAUAUCAGGAGGAACACCGAUGGCGAAGGCAGGUCUCUGGGCACUUACUGACGCUGAGGAGCGAAAGCGUGGGGAGCGAACAGGAUUAGAUACCCUGGUAGU